Molecule: transfer RNA, 69 nt
Filed under: Rattus norvegicus (Norway rat)
Lineage: Eukaryota; Metazoa; Chordata; Mammalia; Rodentia; Muridae
Rfam family: tRNA
About the family: Transfer RNA (tRNA) molecules are approximately 80 nucleotides in length. Their secondary structure includes four short double-helical elements and three loops (D, anti-codon, and T loops).
Source: Rfam by way of RNAcentral
GGGGAUUUAGCUCAGUGGUAGAGUGCUUGCCUAGCAAGCGAAAGGCCCUGGGUUCGGUCCCCAGCUCCA